GAUGAACGCUGGCGGCGUGCUUAACACAUGCCAGUCGAACGGAAAGGCCCAAGCUUGCUUGGGUACUCGAGUGGCGAACGGGUGAGUAACACGUGGGUGAUCUGCCCUGCACUUCGGGAUAAGCCUGGGAAACUGGGUCUAAUACCGGAUAGGACGAUGGGUUGGAUGCCAUGGUGGAAAGAUUUUUCGCGGUGGGGUGAGCUCGCGGCCUAUCAGCUUGUUGGGGGGGUGAUGGCCUACCAAGGCGUCGACGGGUGGCCGGCCUGAGAGGGUGUACGGCGACAUUUGGACAGUGAGACGGCCCAGACUCCUACGGGAGGCAGCAGUGGGGAAUAUUGCACAAUGUGCGCAAGCCUGAUGCAGCGACGCCGCGUGGGCGAUGACGGCCUUCGGGGUGUAAACUCCUUUCGCUAGGGACGAGGCGUUUUUGUGACGGUACCUGGAGAAGAAGCACCGGCUAACUACGUG
Molecule: ribosomal RNA, 468 nt
Filed under: uncultured bacterium
Lineage: Bacteria
Description: partial 16S ribosomal RNA
Rfam family: Bacterial small subunit ribosomal RNA
Source: RNAcentral